RNAcentral lists this ribosomal RNA (497 nucleotides) under uncultured bacterium. RNAcentral's name for it is "partial 16S ribosomal RNA". It matches the Rfam family "Bacterial small subunit ribosomal RNA", at positions 28 to 507 of the family's 1533-position model. The record is from RNAcentral.
GAUGAACGCUGGCGGCGUGCCUAAUACAUGCAAGUCGAGCGAACAGAUAAGGAGCUUGCUCCUUUGACGUUAGCGGCGGACGGGUGAGUAACACGUGGGUAACCUACCUAUAAGUCUGGAAUAACUCCGGGAAACCGGGGCUAAUGCCGGAUAACAUUUAGAACCGCAUGGUUCUAAAGUGAAAGAUGGUUUUGCUAUCACUUAUAGAUGGACCCGCGCCGUAUUAGCUAGUUGGUAAGGUAACGGCUUACCAAGGCAACGAUACGUAGCCGACCUGAGAGGGUGAUCGGCCACACUGGAACUGAGACACGGUCCAGACUCCUACGGGAGGCAGCAGUAGGGAAUCUUCCGCAAUGGGCGAAAGCCUGACGGAGCAACGCCGCGUGAGUGAUGAAGGUCUUCGGAUCGUAAAACUCUGUUAUUAGGGAAGAACAAAUGUGUAAGUAACUGUGCACGUCUUGACGGUACCUAAUCAGAAAGCCACGGCUAACUACGUG